This 301-nucleotide ribosomal RNA is filed under the name uncultured bacterium. Its description in RNAcentral is "partial 16S ribosomal RNA". It matches the Rfam family "Bacterial small subunit ribosomal RNA", at positions 510 to 808 of the family's 1533-position model. The record is from RNAcentral.
CGUAGCCGCGGGAAUACGAAGGGUGCAAGCGUUAAUCGGAAUUAUUGGGCGUAAAGCGUGCGUAGGCGGUGAGUUAAGUCUGCUGUGAAAUCCCCGGGCUCAACCUGGGAAUGGCAGUGGAUACUGGCUCGCUAGAGUGUGUCAGAGGAUGGUGGAAUUCCCGGUGUAGCGGUGAAAUGCGUAGAGAUCGGGAGGAACAUCAGUGGCGAAGGCGGCCAUCUGGGACAACACUGACGCUGAGGCACGAAAGCGUGGGGAGCAAACAGGAUUAGAGACCCCUGUAGUCCCUGUCUCUUAUACA